Molecule: ribosomal RNA, 497 nt
Filed under: uncultured bacterium
Lineage: Bacteria
Description: partial 16S ribosomal RNA
Rfam family: Bacterial small subunit ribosomal RNA
Source: RNAcentral
GACGAACGCUGGCGGCGUGCCUAAUACAUGCAAGUUGAGCGCUGAAGAUUGGUACUUGUACCGACUGGAUGAGCAGCGAACGGGUUAGUAACGCGUGGGGAAUCUGCCUUUGAGCGGGGGACAACAUUUGGAAACGAAUGCUAAUACCGCAUAAAAACUUUAAACACAAGUUUUAAGUUUGAAAGAUGCAAUUGCAUCACUCAAAGAUGAUCCCGCGUUGUAUUAGCUAGUUGGUGAGGUAAAGGCUCACCAAGGCGAUGAUACAUAGCCGACCUGAGAGGGUGAUCGGCCCCAUUGGGACUGAGACACGGCCCAAACUCCUACGGGAGGCAGCAGUAGGGAAUCUUCGGCAAUGGACGAAAGUCUGACCGAGCAACGCCGCGUGAGUGAAGAAGGUUUUCGGAUCGUAAAACUCUGUUGGUAGAGAAGAACGUUGGUGAGAGUGGAAAGCUCAUCAAGUGACGGUAACUACCCAGAAAGGGACGGCUAACUACGUG